CAACUGUUUAGCAAAAACACAGGUCUAUGCGAAACCGAAAGGUGAGGUAUAUGGGCUGACGCCUGCCCGGUGCUGGAAGGUUAAGGGGAGAGGUUAGCGCAAGCGAAGCUUUGAACUUAAGCCCCAGUAAACGGCGGCCGUAACUAUAACGGUCCUAAGGUAGCGAAAUUCCUUGUCGGGUAAGUUCCGACCCGCACGAAAGGCGUAAUGAUUUGGGCGCUGUCUCGACAAUACAUCCGGUGAAAUUGAAGUACCAGUGAAGAUGCUGGUUACCUGCGCCAGGACGGAAAGACCCCAUGGAGCUUUACUCCAGCUUGAUACUGGGAUUCGGUAUUGCAUGUACAGGAUAGGUGGGAGACUAGGAAACGUGAACGCUAGUUUGCGUGGAGUCGCCCUUGGGAUACCACCCUUGCAGUAUUGGGUUUCUAACAUGCAGCCGUUAUCCGGCUGGUGGACAAUGUCAGGUGGGGAGUUUGACUGGGGCGGUCGCCUCCGAAAGAGUAUCGGAGGCGCUCAAAGGUUCCCUCAGAAUGGUCGGAAACCAUUCGCAGAGUGCAAAGGCAUAAGGGAGCUUGACUGCGACACCGACGGGUGGAGCAGGUACGAAAGUAGGACUUAGUGAUCCGGUGGUAUAAAGUGGGAUUGCCAUCGCUCAACGGAUAAAAGCUACCCUGGGGAUAACAGGCUUAUCACUCCCAAGAGUUCACAUCGACGGAGUGGUUUGGCACCUCGAUGUCGGCUCAUCGCAUCCUGGGGCUGUAGUAGGUCCCAAGGGUUGGGCUGUUCGCCCAUUAAAGCGGUACGCGAGCUGGGUUCAGAACGUCGUGAGACAGUUCGGUCCCUAUCCGGCGUGGGCGUAGGAUAUUUGAGAGGAGCUGUCCUUAGUACGAGAGGACCGGGAUGGACUGACCUCUGGUGUACCUGUUGCACUACCAAGUGCAUAGCAGGGUAGCCAAGUCGGGACGGGAUAAACGCUGAAGGCAUCUAAGCGUGAAGCCCCCCUCAAGAUGAGAUAUCCCAUUCGUAAGAAGUAAGACCCCUUGAAGACGACGAGGUUGAUAGGUCAGAGGUGGAAGUGCAGUAAUGCAUGGAGCUGACUGAUACUAAUAGGUCGAGGGCUUAUCCAU
Molecule: ribosomal RNA, 1127 nt
Filed under: Ruminococcus sp. A254.MGS-254
Lineage: Bacteria; Bacillati; Bacillota; Clostridia; Eubacteriales; Oscillospiraceae
Description: bacterial LSU rRNA
Rfam family: Bacterial large subunit ribosomal RNA
Source: RNAcentral